UGAGAUAGCUCAGUUGGUAGAGCAAUAGUCGACUUAGGAGAGUCGUGGGUUCGAUUCCCAUCUUCAU
RNAcentral lists this transfer RNA (67 nucleotides) under Owenweeksia sp. RNAcentral's name for it is "tRNA-OTHER". Lineage: Bacteria; Pseudomonadati; Bacteroidota; Flavobacteriia; Flavobacteriales; Owenweeksiaceae. The record is from RNAcentral.